Asparagus officinalis (garden asparagus) is the source of this 1516-nucleotide long non-coding RNA. RefSeq lists it as uncharacterized. NCBI's taxonomy places the organism in Eukaryota, Viridiplantae, Streptophyta, Magnoliopsida, Asparagales, Asparagaceae. The transcript is spliced from 9 exons. The record is from RefSeq and is a predicted model, not a curated record.
UCGAAUCCAUCCCAUCCCCGCCGCCGCCGGCCGCCGUCACUGAUCCUCCCUCGAAUCGAAAGGUAAUUUCUCGCAGGAUCUAGGAAGCAAAUUUCGGCCCGUUCGAAGCCGACGAGGAUGCGGAAGACGGUGAGGGAUGAACUUGAACAUCUACUGGAUCAUGACAUGGAUAUGGCAGAGAUGUACCUUACGGAGUAGCUUAUAUCUAAUCGAGUUGGCGAGAUGUCUUCGAGAGGGGAUCUUGACAAUGAUGGUUCUGAAAUGGAUGAAGAGAGAGAUGAAGAUUUUAAAAAUGAGACAGAGAACAGCCAUGGAAGUUAUAUUGGUUUCAAGCCUAGCAUUGAAGAACUGGAGAUGCUCUUAGAGGCCUACUUUGUGCAGAUAGAUGGAUGGUACCUUAAACAAACUCUCCACUGGAUUGGAGAUUGAUUACGUCAGAGAUGAUGAUGGAUGGAUCGAAUCGAAGGGUCAACUCGGUUCAUCAUAGUUAUGAAACAGUCAUGGAGAAGGUUGUUAAGAAGAUCUCGGAGUAGGAAAUUUCCUCGCCUAAAUAAUCCAAGACCCCGUUUAAGCCUGCAAUAGUUCUAUUUCAGGUUGAGAUGUAUAAAUCAAUAAUUGACAGAGAAAUUUUGAAGAAUGUUGAAGACGUACAAAUCAAUGUCCUACGUGUCAUCGGCUCUAUCGAUCAUUCGCUUUCAUUCGGUUGCACUUGCUACUACUACAAAAAUAAAUGCAAAGGGUAUGUGUAUAUACCAACGACUAUUAGAAUUAUACGACAGUAAGAUACUAUGAAUUAUCAAAUAAUAUGUGUAAUUCAUCUAAUAUUACACUUUUUACCCCCUCUCACUCAGGUGUUCUCUCUUCUGGUGUUAGUUUGGAGCAAAUCUAUUUGAGAUAUGGUAGCCUUAGGCACUGGAAUUCCCCAAACCAAGCUCUCGGGGAUUUGUCACAAGCCAAUUAAGCAAAGGUUAUUUCAUAAGAGUCAGGUUUCGAAAUGUGAUAUUGUAUCUGCGUUUCACAGUUCAGACAGAGAGCACCACCACUCACUCUCUUAUAAUGCAUCGUCUCUAUAUAUUCCAUCUAAAGAUAGAAAAUUUUUGGGGAAAUCAUGUUACUCCUGAAGCGUGCUCUUCUGAUGAGAACAUGAUUGGAGCUUCUUCGACUACUGCACGUGAGAAGGUUGGAGUGCUGUUGCUGAACCUUGGAGGCCCAGAGACCCUUCAGGAUGUGCAGCCGUUUCUGUUUAAUUUAUUUGCAGACCCAACUGCGAAGGAGGAUAAUGAAAGGUUCUUGCUAAAGCUCAGGAAUCGAAUGGAGCGGUUGGGAUUGAUAAUCCAACGAUUGAGUUCCGAUUCGAGCAUUUGAACAUUGAUGCAAAGGCAUUUGUGGGGAAUCAAGGACAUACCUGAACAACAUCGAAGACAACACCAAAUGUAAGAACAUGUUGAAACAAAAUGUAGUUUGUUCCUUCUUGCUACUGUAUCAUUUGAUUUUGUAUGUAUAAAAAAGAUAUAAU